This 567-nucleotide long non-coding RNA is filed under the name Phoenix dactylifera (date palm). RNAcentral's name for it is "long non-coding RNA (PDAC_LNC013707)". Lineage: Eukaryota; Viridiplantae; Streptophyta; Magnoliopsida; Arecales; Arecaceae. The record is from RNAcentral.
GUGAGGUUAUUGUAGUUUGACUGCACACAUACAUGGUCUCUAGCCAUAUGGGUCCAUGCAGUGUAGAUUGGCGGCAGUAAGUUUACUGUAGGAGUAGGGUAUGCACCUAUAAGGAAUCUAUCGACCUUGAUAGAAGAGGAGUGAUCCUAUGUGAUUUGUUAGACUGAGUUCUAAGACCUUGGCCAGGGCAGUAAUAUAAAGUGGAAAAAGAGUUUUCCACUAUCGAACUCAAGUCGAAUAAAUCUUGACAUAUGACAGACGAUGGGGUUUGACGAGUUGUCCAUGACCUCCGUCCUGUAGGGAUCCACGAUAGUAUGACUGUAUCACAUGUUAACUACACCUAGAGGUUCAUCAUUACAUUCUGCUGGAUAGCCACUACAUGCUGCUAGGUGUCACUGGUGGAUGGUGGGACUCACAGGGAUUAUCUCGAUGAUCGAUAAACCCUAAUGAAUAGAGUUGGAAUCGUUCCAACCCAUUGAAAGGAGUUUUCAAUGAUAUAGUGAUAGAGAUCACAAUAUAUCUCACUACCAGUCAGAGUAGAACCUAUGGGGUCACACACACUAGAAG